RNAcentral lists this ribosomal RNA (492 nucleotides) under uncultured bacterium. Its description in RNAcentral is "partial 16S ribosomal RNA". It matches the Rfam family "Bacterial small subunit ribosomal RNA", at positions 29 to 507 of the family's 1533-position model. The record is from RNAcentral.
AGUGAACGCUGGCGGUAGGCCUAACACAUGCAAGUCGAACGGCAGCACAGUAAGAGCUUGCUCUUACGGGUGGCGAGUGGCGGACGGGUGAGGAAUACAUCGGCACCUACUUUUUCGUGGGGGAUAACGUGGGGAAACUUACGCUACUACCGCAUACGACCUACGGGUGAAAGCCGCGGAUCUUCGGACCUUGCGCGAUUGAAUGAGCCGAUGUCGGAUUAGCUAGUUGGCGGGGUAAAGGCCCACCAAGGCGACGAUCCGUAGCUGGUCUGAGAGGAUGAUCAGCCACACUGGAACUGAGAAACGGUCCAGACUCCUACGGGAGGCAGCAGUGGGGAAUAUUGGACAAUGGGCGCAAGCCUGAUCCAGCCAUACCGCGUGGGUGAAGAAGGCCUUCGGGUUGGAAAGCCCUUUUGUUGGGAAAGAAAAGCAGCAGGUUAAGACCCCGCUGUUCUGACGGUACCCAAAGAAUAAGCACCGGCUAACUUCGUG